CCUACGGGAGGCAGCAGUGAGGAAUAUUGGUCAAUGGACGAGAGUCUGAACCAGCCAAGUAGCGUGAAGGAUGACUGCCCUAUGGGUUGUAAACUUCUUUUAUAUGGGAAUAAAACGUUCCACGUGUGGGAUUUUGUAUGUACCAUCUGAAUAAGGAUCGGCUAACUCCGUGCCAGCAGCCGCGGUAAUACGGAGGAUCCGAGCGUUAUCCGGAUUUAUUGGGGUUAAAGGGAGCGUAGGUGGAUUGUUAAGUCAGUUGUGAAAGUUUGCGGCUCAACCGUAAAAUUGCAGUUGAAACUGGCAGUCUUGAGUACAGUAGAGGUGGGCGGAAUUCGUGGUGUAGCGGUGAAAUGCUUAGAUAUCACGAAGAACUCCGAUUGCGAAGGCAGUUCACUGGACUGCAACUGACACUGAGGCUCGAAAGUGUGGGUAUCAAACAGGAUUAGAUACCCCAGUAGUC
RNAcentral lists this ribosomal RNA (460 nucleotides) under uncultured bacterium. RNAcentral's name for it is "partial 16S ribosomal RNA". It matches the Rfam family "Bacterial small subunit ribosomal RNA", at positions 338 to 795 of the family's 1533-position model. The record is from RNAcentral.